UUUCCGUAGGUGAACCUGCGGAAGGAUCAUUACUGAGUGAGGGCCCCUCGGGGUCCAACCUCCCACCCGUGUUUAACGGACCUUGUUGCUUCGGCGGGCCCGCCUCACGGCCGCCGGGGGGCAUCUGCCCCCGGGCCCGCGCCCGCCGAAGCCACCUGUGAACGCUGUCUGAAGUAUGCAGUCUGAGACAAUUAUUAAAUUAAUUAAAACUUUCAACAACGGAUCUCUUGGUUCCGGCAUCGAUGAAGAACGCCAGC
RNAcentral lists this unclassified non-coding RNA (257 nucleotides) under plant metagenome. RNAcentral describes it as "partial contains small subunit ribosomal RNA, internal transcribed spacer 1, and 5.8S ribosomal RNA". The stretch from base 208 to 257 matches the Rfam family "5.8S ribosomal RNA", at positions 1 to 49 of the family's 154-position model. The record is from RNAcentral.